CACGUAUUUAGCCGGAGCUUCUUAGUCAGGUACCGUCAUUUUCUUCCCUGCUGAUAGAGCUUUACAUACCGAAAUACUUCUUCACUCACGCGGCGUUGCUGCAUCAGGGUUCCCCCCAUUGUGCGAUAUUCCCCACUGCUGCCUCCCGUAGGAGUUUGGGCCGUGUCUCAGUCCCAAUGUGGCCGUCCACUCUCUCAAGCCGGCUACUGAUCGUUGUCUUGGUAGGCCGUUACCCUGCCAACUAACUAAUCAGACGUGGGCCCAUCCUGUACCACCGGAGUUUUUCCUGCUGUACCAUGCGGCACUGUAGGCUUAUGCGGUAUUAGCAGCCGUUUCCAGCUGUUCGUCCCCCUGUACAGGGCACGGUUUACCCACGCGUUACUCCACCCGUCCGCCCACUCAGUCCUGCGCAUCCUUCCCUCGUGGAGCGUUCCGCCGCGCUAGUCCUUCGUUCGACUUGCUAUGUUGUUAGGCACCGCCCGUCCACGUCCGUUCGAUCCGU
Molecule: ribosomal RNA, 502 nt
Filed under: uncultured Lachnospiraceae bacterium
Lineage: Bacteria; Bacillati; Bacillota; Clostridia; Lachnospirales; Lachnospiraceae
Description: partial 16S ribosomal RNA
Source: RNAcentral